AAUCAACGCUGGCGGCGUGCCUAACACAUGCAAGUCGAACGCGAAAGCCCCGCAAGGGGCAAGUAGAGUGGCAAACGGGUGAGUAACACGUGGGUGACCUGCCUUAGAGUGGGGGAUAACGUCCCGAAAGGGACGCUAAUACCGCAUAACAUCCUGCCUUUGAAGAGGUGGAGAUCAAAGCCGGGGACCGCAAGGCCUGGCGCUCAAAGAGGGGCCCGCGCCUGAUUAGCUAGUUGGUGAGGUAAUGGCUCACCAAGGCAACGAUCAGUAUCCGGCCUGAGAGGGCGGACGGACACACUGGGACUGAGACACGGCCCCAGACUCCUACGGGAGGCAGCAGUGGGGAAUUUUGGACAAUGGGCGCAAGCCUGAUCCAGCCAUGCCGCGUGCGGGAAGAAGGCCUGGUUGUAA
This 411-nucleotide ribosomal RNA is filed under the name uncultured bacterium. Its description in RNAcentral is "bacterial SSU rRNA". It matches the Rfam family "Bacterial small subunit ribosomal RNA", at positions 29 to 428 of the family's 1533-position model. The record is from RNAcentral.